CCCUAGUUAGCUCAGUUGGUAGAGCGCUCCACUUGUAAUGGAGAGGUCCCGGGUUCGAUACCCGGACCAGGCG
Molecule: non-coding RNA, 73 nt
Organism: Ixodes scapularis (black-legged tick)
Lineage: Eukaryota; Metazoa; Arthropoda; Arachnida; Ixodida; Ixodidae
Source: Rfam